This 1880-nucleotide long non-coding RNA is filed under the name Homo sapiens (human). Its description in RNAcentral is "non-protein coding lnc-CPNE5-1:1". The record is from RNAcentral. Lineage: Eukaryota; Metazoa; Chordata; Mammalia; Primates; Hominidae.
AAGAUGCUGAAACAAGAGGAAAUGGGUUUACAUUGAAUGGACAGAGAGAGAGUUCAGGAGGCCUACGAGUAGACUGGCUGGCUUGGCGGGUAAUGUACUUAAAUGAAAUUAAACCCAGCACAAAGAAAGAGAAGGAGGCUGAGGCUGAGGCUGGGAAAGGCCAGGCUGUGGAGGACCAGGGCUGGUCUCAAACUCCUGACAUCAGGUGAUCCACCUACCUCAGCCUCCCAAAGUGCUGAGAUUACAGACUUGAGCCACUGCACCCAGCUCCUGAUCAUGAGGAAGUGUUUGCCCCUCUGGAGGACACAGCAACAAGGACCAUCUUGGAAGCAGAGACCUGGCCCUCACCAGACACCAUACCUGCCGGCACCUUGAUCUUGAACUUCUCAGCCUCCAGAAGUGUUUCCCAAGGCCCUGUCACUGGGCCAGGCACACAGCAGAUGCUCAGUAAACACUCCUGGAAUGAAUGGAGAACAUAUUCCACAAGCAUGCUUUGAGCAUUGUUUAUGCCAGGAAUUGACUUCAAACAGAAUCCGGAGGAGCCCCUUAUGGUCCCGCUGCCACAAACAAGGCCCAGAGAGCGCAACUCUGCCCAGCCCAGCACCAGGUUUUUGGCCUCCCCGCCGGCCCGAGGCACAUCGGCUUCGAUGUGCCAGGCGGUGGGCGAGGAAGUGGAGGUUCCAGCUCGGCAAAGCUUAGGCUGAGGCUGAGGAUGGGCUAGAGUCAAGUCUACGUGUGCAGCCUUACUCAGGGAGACGCCUCUGCGCUGCAACCUCAUGCCCGGGAGGGCAAGGCUGGGCUAGGGCGGGGGAUCGCGAGGGGCUUGGCUGGGAAGAGGACUGCAGGAGAGGUGUCCCAACUCUCCCCUCGCUCGCCAGGCACACAGCACGCGCCUACUCGGUGCUGGCUGCAUAGAAGCCCAGGGAGCUCGGGCCGAUCUCCCAGUCUGGUUGCCACCAGACUGGGUGGCAGGAGCUUCUAGACCUGGAGGCUGGCUCAGUCGUGUGGUCACGACGGGCGGGGGAGUGGAAGGGCGCUGGCGCGUGGUUUCGGCAGCCGACUUGGCGAGGCCGCGGCUGGCGGGAACCACGGAUGGGGGAGGCGCCCAUGCACCGACCCCACCUGGGCCACUGGGAAACCGAGGUAGUCCCUCCUGGCACUGGGGUCGCCCCCACACACCUCCCCAGAAGGAGAUGUAGGGUCUGUUUCUGAACUGAGACCCGCCCCCGAGUAGGGCGCACACUCAGCAGAGACCCUCCACACCCAAGCCCCUGGGAGGGGAUCUUUUUUGCACACCUCCCUCCCACUUAUGCCCCCUCUCAACCCUGCAUAGACCUUUCUCAAAAAGGCGCCCGUUGGUUCCCAUAACCCUCCCCCUCCCCCAGGAUGGAGACCCCUGAUGGGAGAUAGGGGUGGUGAGAGGGGGCGGGCGCAAAUGAAGAUGCGCGCGACCAGGACCACCUCUUGCUGUCACCCGCCACGUCCCCAGCAUCUGGACCGCGUCCCCCGGCCCGCCACGCGCGCACACACACACACACGCGCACACACACACGCUCACACUCACCCUGCGCGCAGACCCCGCCCGCGGCCCCGCCCCGGCCCCUGCGGGCGCCCCCUCUGGCGUUCCCGGGCGGCGGGAGGCUGCGGCUUCGGGCAGAUUUGAUUUUCCCGCAGCCCGGGCGCCCCGGAGCCGAAGCCCGAGCCGAGGAGGUGGCGCUCGCAGCCGCGUCUCAGCCCCGUCGCCGCCGGCGCCAAGACCCAGGGAGAGGCGGCGCAGCCCGGGCGCUCGGGCUCCGCGCUGCCGGCGCCCCGCCACCCCCGCCGCCAGCGCCCCAUCCGGCGCCUCCCGCUCCUCACGCCCCUCUCCCUGUCUUCUGCAU